GUAUGGAGCGAGGUUAAGCAGGAUAUGCGGAGCCGAAGCGAAAGCGAGUCUUAAGAGGGCGAGAGUUGCAUGCAGUAGACCCGAAACCGGGUGAUCUAGCCAUGACCAGGUUGAAGUUGGGGUAAAACCCGAUGGAGGACCGAACCGACCCCCGUUGAAACGUUGGCGGAUGAGUUGUGGCUAGGGGUGAAAUUCCAAUCGAACCCGGAGAUAGCUGGUUCUCCCCGAAAUAGCUUUAGGGCUAGCGUCGAGGUAAGUUGCGUGAAGGUAGAGCACUGAAUAUGUGAUGGCCCCAUCUCGGGGUACUGAGCAUAAUCAAACUGCGAAUGUCACGCCAACAUGCUCGGCAGUCAGACAGCGGGUGAUAAGGUCCGUUGUCAAGAGGGAAACAGCCCAGACCAUCAGCUAAGGUCCCAAAAUGUAUGCUAAGUGGAAAAGGAUGUGGAGAUGUACAGACAACUAGGAGGUUGGCUCAGAAGCAGCCAUCCUUUAAAGAGUGCGUAACAGCUCACUAGUCGAAUGACUCUGCGCCGAUAAUUUACCGGGGCUAAGCAUACUACCGAAGCUAUGGAUCCCAAGGGAUGGUAGGGGAGCGUUCCAUGAACGGAGAAGUACGACCGAAAGGACGUGUGGAGAUCAUGGAAGAGAGAAUGCCGGUGUGAGUAGCGGAACGUGGGUGAGAAUCCCACGCACCGAAAACCCAAGGUUUCCAGAGGAAGGUUCGUCCGCUCUGGGUAAGUCGGGACCUAAGGCGAGGCCGAAAGGCGUAGUCGAUGGACAACAGGUAGAGAUUCCUGUACCCGUAUAUAUGUGAAGGAAUGACGGAGAGAGGAAGCUGCAGCCAGCGGCUGGAAGAGCUGGUGCAAGCGAGAUAUCGGGAUGGCAGGCAAAUCCACCAUCCGAAACGAGAAGGCGUGAAGCGUACGGAAAGCUACGGCGAGUACGGAAGGCAGUGGAGGAACUUCCAAGAAAAGUUUCUAACGUAAAGUAUAUAUGGCCCGUACCGAAAAUGGACACACAUGGGUGAGGAGAGAAUCCUAAGGUGAGCGAGAGAACUAUAGCUAAGGAACUCUGCAAAAUGACUCCGUAACUUAGGGAGAAGGAGUGCUCAUAGAGAUAUGAGCCGCAGUGAAACGGCCCAAGCGACUGUUUACCAAAAACACAGCUCUCUGCUAAGCCGCAAGGCGAAGUAUAGGGGGUGACGCCUGCCCGGUGCUGGAAGGUUAAGGGGAGGGGUUAACGCAAGUGAAGCCCUGAACUGAAGCCCCAGUAAACGGCGGCCGUAACUAUAACGGUCCUAAGGUAGCGAAAUUCCUUGUCAGGUAAGUUCUGACCCGCACGAAAGGCGUAACGAUUUGGGCGCUGUCUCAGCUGUAGACUCGGUGAAGUCUUAGUACCUGUGAAGAUGCAGGUUACCCGCGACUAGACGGAAAGACCCCAUGGAGCUUCACUGCAGGUUGAUAUUGGGAUUUGAUGCAGCAUGUACAGGAUAGGUAGGAGGCAAAGAGAUGGAUACGCCAGUAUUCAAGGAGCCGCUGUUGGGAUACUACCCCUGUUGUAUUGGAUUUCUAACCGGACGACGUAGAGCCGUUGACGGGACAGUGUCAGUCGGGCAGUUUGACUGGGGCGGUCGCCUCCCAAAGAGUAACGGAGGCGCCCAAAGAUACCCUCAGCUUGGAUGGAAACCAAGCGCAGAGUGCAAAGGCAAAAGGGUGUUUGACUGCGAGACCCACAAGUCGAGCAGGGACGAAAGUCGGGCUUAGUGAUCCGGC
RNAcentral lists this ribosomal RNA (1772 nucleotides) under human gut metagenome. Its description in RNAcentral is "bacterial LSU rRNA". It matches the Rfam family "Bacterial large subunit ribosomal RNA", at positions 633 to 2424 of the family's 2925-position model. The record is from RNAcentral.